UGAGCAAGGCAGGAACAGCACAUCAUCCGGUGAGAGAAGCAGACAGCGGCCAGGCCACACAGAGCCCUGCAGGGCACGCUGGCAGAGUUGCUUGAAAUGAAGCCGUUCCCUGAAAAGCACACAUGAAUUUCCCCUGCGGAAAAUUCAAACAGACACACUUGAGGAUUUCCACUAAAUUCUCUCUGGCCCCCAGAGCACUGGGGAAGCAUGUGAGACCUGUGCCAUCCCGGAACUGUGGCGACAAUGGUAGUUAACGUCCAUCAUCUGCAGGCACCUUCAGGAUGUGGAGCAUGCAGAGAUGACUCACGCCCACACCGGUGACCUCCAACACACCAGGGAAGGCAGGAAAAGGCUGUGUGCCAGGAUCUUGUUCUGGGCUAGAAAAGUAUGCCUGUUCGUUACCCGACCUUUGCUAAGUACACCAACUAAUGGAGCGAGAGACAUGAAAGAUCUUCACAGGCCAUGUGGAAAUGUAAUUCAAACCCAGCCCGAGGAGGUCAUAGUACCUCAGUAAAUUGAUUUCCCAGCCUGGUGUUCAGAAACCUG
Molecule: long non-coding RNA, 546 nt
Filed under: Homo sapiens (human)
Lineage: Eukaryota; Metazoa; Chordata; Mammalia; Primates; Hominidae
Description: HSALNT0351833
Source: RNAcentral